UGAGACCUACGGGACGCAGCAGUGGGGAAUAUUGCACAAUGGGGGGAACCCUGAUGCAGCGACGCCGCGUGAGUGAAGAAGUAUUUCGGUAUGUAAAGCUCUAUCAGCAGGGAAGAAAAUGACGGUACCUGACUAAGAAGCCCCGGCUAACUACGUGCCAGCAGCCGCGGUAAUACGUAGGGGGCAAGCGUUAUCCGGAUUUACUGGGUGUAAAGGGAGCGUAGACGGCAGAGAAAGUCUGAAGUGAAAGCCCGCGGCCCACCUGCGGGACUGCUUUGGAAACUGCCCG
RNAcentral lists this ribosomal RNA (289 nucleotides) under uncultured bacterium. RNAcentral's name for it is "partial 16S ribosomal RNA". It matches the Rfam family "Bacterial small subunit ribosomal RNA", at positions 333 to 639 of the family's 1533-position model. The record is from RNAcentral.